Saccostrea cuccullata (small rock oyster) is the source of this 561-nucleotide long non-coding RNA. RefSeq lists it as uncharacterized. NCBI's taxonomy places the organism in Eukaryota, Metazoa, Mollusca, Bivalvia, Ostreida, Ostreidae. The transcript has 3 exons. The record is from RefSeq and is a predicted model, not a curated record.
CACGGAAGUACAAUUGUUUUAAAAAAAAGAAUAAAUAAAACUAGAUAAAAACAUGGAUAUUUUCAAAUGGCUGUGCUUUGUCCAUGUCACCCUUCAUUACGUUCGAUCAGGUAGCAUACAAAGGAGACUCUGCAUGGACAUUCCAAUAAAGUUUAUAGCGUCGAAAAGAAGCUGCAGUUUUUCUUUAGACGAAGCAAAAAUUAACCUUCGAGACGGCAAGUAUUCGACCAUAUGUUGAUAAGAAGGACCAGUUAUUUUAUAACAUUCAUGACAUUUUUCUUCAUAAUCUUUAUCUUUUCAUUAUCAUAUAUCGUUAUAUCUAGAUUAAUCAUUGGAAAUGUGCACGCAUGAAAACAAUGUACUGUUUUGUAUCUAAAAGUAUGCUCAUAUUUUUAAGGAUACUGCCUUGAUCCAUGUAAUGUAUCUAUUCCUUACAUCUGGAAAGGGCAUCGAUAUAGAUUAUCUGGUCUAGUAUUGAACUACGGGACCAAAAGGACGCAUUUACCUUUGACAGAUUUUUGUUCAGAUACAUAUGAUGACGACAAUAUACACUAUAGGAAU